AAGGGAGCUUGCUCCCGGAUGUUAGCGGCGGACGGGUGAGUAACACGUGGGUAACCUGCCUGUAAGACUGGGAUAACUCCGGGAAACCGGAGCUAAUACCGGAUAGUUCCUUGAACCGCAUGGUUCAAGGAUGAAAGACGGUUUCGGCUGUCACUUACAGAUGGACCCGCGGCGCAUUAGCUAGUUGGUGAGGUAACGGCUCACCAAGGCGACGAUGCGUAGCCGACCUGAGAGGGUGAUCGGCCACACUGGGACUGAGACACGGCCCAGACUCCUACGGGAGGCAGCAGUAGGGAAUCUUCCGCAAUGGACGAAAGUCUGACGGAGCAACGCCGCGUGAGUGAUGAAGGUUUUCGGAUCGUAAAGCUCUGUUGUUAGGGAAGAACAAGUGCAAGAGUAACUGCUUGCACCUUGACGGUACCUAACCAGAAAGCCACGGCUAACUACGUGCCAGCAGCCGCGGUAAUACGUAGGUGGCAAGCGUUGUCCGGAAUUAUUGGGCGUAAAGGGCUCGCAGGCGGUUUCUUAAGUCUGAUGUGAAAGCCCCCGGCUCAACCGGGGAGGGUCAUUGGAAACUGGGAAACUUGAGUGCAGAAGAGGAGAGUGGAAUUCCACGUGUAGCGGUGAAAUGCGUAGAGAUGUGGAGGAACACCAGUGGCGAAGGCGACUCUCUGGUCUGUAACUGACGCUGAGGAGCGAAAGCGUGCGGAGCGAACAGGAUUAGAUACCCUGGUAGUCCACGCCGUAAACGAUGAGUGCUAAGUGUUAGGGGGUUUCCGCCCCUUAGUGCUGCAGCUAACGCAUUAAGCACUCCG
RNAcentral lists this ribosomal RNA (815 nucleotides) under Bacillus sp. IIPON4. RNAcentral describes it as "bacterial SSU rRNA". It matches the Rfam family "Bacterial small subunit ribosomal RNA", at positions 72 to 871 of the family's 1533-position model. The record is from RNAcentral. Lineage: Bacteria; Bacillati; Bacillota; Bacilli; Caryophanales; Bacillaceae.